Molecule: non-coding RNA, 100 nt
Organism: Helianthus annuus (common sunflower)
Lineage: Eukaryota; Viridiplantae; Streptophyta; Magnoliopsida; Asterales; Asteraceae
Source: Rfam
UUAGAGUCGCAAUGAUGUUGAAAUCUACCUAUUUUAUGAACGAAGCUUGAGUUUUCAGUUCAUGAUUAGAAACAACCAAUGGAUCCUUCUGAGCACUCUA